UGGAGAAUUGAGGGGGGCUGCUCCUAGUACGAGAGGACCGGAGUGGACGCAUCACUGGUGUUCGGGUUGUCAUGCCAAUGGCACUGCCCGGUAGCUAAAUGCGGAAGAGAUAAGUGCUGAAAGCAUCUAAGCACGAAACUUGCCCCGAGAUGAGUUCUCCCUGAGACUUUAAGUCUCCUGAAGGAACGUUGAAGACGACGACGUUGAUAGGUCGGGUGUGUAAGCGCAGCGAUGCGUUGAGCUAACCGAUACUAAUGAACCGUGAGGCUUAACCUU
This 276-nucleotide ribosomal RNA is filed under the name Enterobacter kobei. RNAcentral's name for it is "partial 23S ribosomal RNA". It matches the Rfam family "Bacterial large subunit ribosomal RNA", at positions 2655 to 2925 of the family's 2925-position model. The record is from RNAcentral. Lineage: Bacteria; Pseudomonadati; Pseudomonadota; Gammaproteobacteria; Enterobacterales; Enterobacteriaceae.